Molecule: ribosomal RNA, 253 nt
Filed under: uncultured bacterium
Lineage: Bacteria
Description: partial 16S ribosomal RNA
Rfam family: Bacterial small subunit ribosomal RNA
Source: RNAcentral
UACAGAGGGUGCAAGCGUUAAUCGGAUUUACUGGGCGUAAAGCGUGCGUAGGCGGUUCAUUAAGUCGGUUGUGAAAUCCCUGGGCUUAACCUGGGAACUGCAGUCGAUACUGAUGAACUAGAGUGCGGUAGAGGGUGGCGGAACUCCGGGUGUAGCGGUGAAAUGCGUAGAUAUCGCUUGGAACGCCGACGGCGAAAGCAGUCUGCUGGGGGCCUUCUGACGCUGAGACACGAAAGCCAGGGGAGCGAACGGG